Molecule: ribosomal RNA, 353 nt
Filed under: uncultured methanogenic archaeon
Lineage: Archaea; Methanobacteriati; Methanobacteriota
Description: partial 16S ribosomal RNA
Rfam family: Archaeal small subunit ribosomal RNA
Source: RNAcentral
CCUUGUUCCUGGGGGGGACCACCUGUGGCAAAGGCUCCCCCUCGAAACGGCCUCAACGGUGAGGGACGAAAGCUGGGGGAGCAAACCGGAUAAAAUACCCGGGUAGUCCUGGCCGUAAAGGAUGUGGGUUUGGUGUAGGGGAGACCCCAAGUCCCCGAGGGUGCCGAAGGGAAACCGUUAAAACCCCCCGCCUGGGAAAGUACGGUCCCAAGGUUUAAACCUUAAAGGGAAUUGGCGGGGGGAGCACCACAACCGGUGGGAGGCCUGCGGUUUAAUUUGGAUUCUAACGCCGGAAAACUCACCGGAUAAGACAGUUUGAAAUGAUUGACAGGGUGAAAACUCUGCCUGACUAG